GGGAGCUCAUAGCCAAAAGAAACACACAAAGCACUCAAAUCAACAUUAAAAUUCAGCAUUAGUACACCCUCUCUUAUUAUACUCUAGCUUCUCUAGGCCUAUCUGAACUCUUUUCAUCCCUACACUCAUCAUCAUGCAUUCACACAUGCAAAUCAACCAACUCUCAAGUUCAUUAAGCAUAGCAUCAAGUGAAUUCUUGCAAAUGGUCAAUUGGUCCAAAUCAUUUGGUUGAGUAAGGGAAGACUUUUAUUCAAGUGAUUCAAGAGGUUCAAAACAUAUGAUCUUUAAGGUGGUUUACUCUCGAAAUAAGUAGACUUGACAUUGCACAUAAUAUAUCUAAGAAAGGGAUCAACUCAUGCAUACAAUGCUCAAUCUCCAUUGUUCUACCAUUUUCCCAAACAUACAAUUACACAAUCAUUCCCAAAUGACAAACCCAACUCACAUCUCUCACCAAAAGAUC
RNAcentral lists this long non-coding RNA (460 nucleotides) under Brassica napus (rape). Its description in RNAcentral is "long non-coding RNA (BNAP_LNC018041)". Lineage: Eukaryota; Viridiplantae; Streptophyta; Magnoliopsida; Brassicales; Brassicaceae. The record is from RNAcentral.